This 207-nucleotide ribosomal RNA is filed under the name uncultured bacterium. RNAcentral describes it as "partial 16S ribosomal RNA". It matches the Rfam family "Bacterial small subunit ribosomal RNA", at positions 568 to 774 of the family's 1533-position model. The record is from RNAcentral.
AGCGUAGGCGGGAAUGCAAGUCAGAUGUGAAAACCAAGGGCUUAACCUUUGGACUGCAUUUGAAACUGUGUUUCUUGAGUGAAGUAGAGGCAAGCGGAAUUCCUGGUGUAGCGGUGAAAUGCGUAGAUAUCAGGAGGAACAUCGGUGGCGAAGGCGGCUUGCUGGGCUUUUACUGACGCUGAGGCUCGAAAGCGUGGGGAGCAAACA